RNAcentral lists this ribosomal RNA (492 nucleotides) under uncultured bacterium. RNAcentral's name for it is "partial 16S ribosomal RNA". It matches the Rfam family "Bacterial small subunit ribosomal RNA", at positions 29 to 507 of the family's 1533-position model. The record is from RNAcentral.
AGUGAACGCUGGCGGUAGGCCUUACACAUGCAAGUCGAACGGCAGCAUAGUAUAGCUUUGCUCUUACGGGUGGCGAGUCGAACACGGGUGUGGUAUACCUCGGCAUGUACUUUUUCGGGGGGGAAAUCGUCGGGAAACUAGCGAAAACACCGUACACGCCGUACGGGUGAAUGCGGGAGCUCAUGGCCUCUUGCUCGAUUGACUGCGCCGAUGUCAGAUUAGCUAGUUGGCGGGGUAAAGGCCCACCAAGGCGACGAUCCGUAGCUGGUCUGAGAGGAUGAUCAGCCACACUGGAACUGAGACACGGUCCAGACUCCUACGGGAGGCAGCAGUGGGGAAUAUUGGACAAUGGGCGCAAGCCUGAUCCAGCCAUACCGCGUGUGUGAAGAAGGCCUUCGGGUUGUAAAGCACUUUUGUCGGGAAAGAAAAGCAUCUGGUUAAUACCUGGGGUUGCUGACGGUACCGAAAGAAUAAGGACCGGCUAACUACGUG